Molecule: long non-coding RNA, 239 nt
Organism: Populus trichocarpa (black cottonwood)
Lineage: Eukaryota; Viridiplantae; Streptophyta; Magnoliopsida; Malpighiales; Salicaceae
Exons: 4
Source: RefSeq, a predicted model, not a curated record
GGCUCCAACCCACUAAGCAGCCCCUUAUAAUUGCUUUGAAUUAGGGUUAGGUUCCUCCCAGUUUCGUUCCUCCUUCGAAUCGUAGAAAAUCAAACCCUAACCCAAAGCUUCAAUCAUGUCUUCCAAGCUAGGUGGAAAAGCUAAGCCUUUGAAGGCACCAAAGUCUGAGAAGAAGGAUUACGACGAGACUGAUCUGGCCAACAUUCAAAAGAAAAAGGAUGAAGAAAAGGCACUUAAGU